ACCCUGAAAUAAAAAAAGUGCACCGGAAGUGAAACCAUUAGUUUACACAAGGGGGUGAUACACCCACUAUAAAUACCGAUCAGCGACAAAUCCGCACUGAGAGUUGGCAUGUUGACGGGCAUCCUGGUCGAGGAGGGGUCGGACCGGCACAUAUGCGUCUCGUGCUAAGGGGAGAAACAAAAUGGGGAGGCAAGCCUCCAGCUUCAGAUGACCAACAACAAUCAGACCCACGUUUCCCCUCCCAGCAGAUCCCCACCCCCCAUCUAACAGCCCCGGACCAGCGCAGGGCGACAGGGACGCGCUCGGUCCCGUCGGUCCCACGGCGGAGCGGAGCGGGAGGAGGACCGAGGCCUCUCCAUUUUCCAGCACUCACGCUCGACAUCGUGCAGCUUCGCUCGUUCCUCCUCCAGCUUCAGCUUCAGCGUCUCCGACUCCGUUUUGAGCGGCAGGCGGCGGAAAGGCUUACGGCGGAGCUAACAGCUGAUGCUGCUGUCAUGACGUCACGGGGAGAAGAUGCUCCUCCAGUUUCCAGAGGAGGAUCCUGGAUCUGGGGGAUGCUGAGCGCAUCCUGCCUCAAUGCUGUGAA
Molecule: long non-coding RNA, 586 nt
Organism: Oryzias melastigma (Indian medaka)
Lineage: Eukaryota; Metazoa; Chordata; Actinopteri; Beloniformes; Adrianichthyidae
Exons: 3
Source: RefSeq, a predicted model, not a curated record